This 253-nucleotide ribosomal RNA is filed under the name uncultured bacterium. Its description in RNAcentral is "partial 16S ribosomal RNA". It matches the Rfam family "Bacterial small subunit ribosomal RNA", at positions 524 to 776 of the family's 1533-position model. The record is from RNAcentral.
UACGGGGGGAGCAAGCGUUGUUCGGAUUCAUUGGGCGUAAAGGGUGCGUAGGCGGCGCGGUAAGUCGGGUGUGAAAUCUCGGGGCUUAACUCCGAAACUGCAUUCGAUACUGCCGUGCUUGAGGACUGGAGAGGAGACUGGAAUUUACGGUGUAGCGGUGAAAUGCGUAGAUAUCGAGAGGAACACCUGCGGCGAAGGCGGGUUGCUGGGCCGACACUGACGCUGAGGCGCGAAAGCCAGGGGAGCGAACGGG